This 5214-nucleotide long non-coding RNA is filed under the name Sus scrofa (pig). Its description in RNAcentral is "lncRNA (ENSSSCG00040031510.1)". Lineage: Eukaryota; Metazoa; Chordata; Mammalia; Artiodactyla; Suidae. The record is from RNAcentral.
AAGAAUCAAGGGAGAGCGUGUAUUUACUUUGGGCGAUUUUCCCAUUGCACUGUGUUCGCCUGCCAGGAAGUUAAAAAUAGUGGUGAUAAGCAGUCUGUGCAUUGGUCUCUCCUGCAGGGGCAAGGGUCAACCGAAAGUAGAAUGGUUCCUCCUGCCCCCUGAGAGCUCUGCUUUAUCCCCCCAAAAGUCCUGUUUCGAGAGCUCCUCUUGCAGCUUCUGUCUGCUGCUGUCCUGCACCCUACGCUCCUUGCCUGAGUUUCCCGGCCUGUCGCAUCCAUUCAUCAGACUUCUCAGCAGCCUAUGUUAAACCAACUGGUUUGGGAUGGCCUCAUGCUUUACAUCCGCUAUUUAUAACCAAUAAUUUAUGUUUUCAUGAGCCUUCAUGUACCAGCUGGUCUUUGUGCCACUGUAAUAAGGGAAUAAUGAAAUGCAUGGUAUUUAUACCGGUGGCUCUAGUGUCUGUCGUUUUGUACAUGGAUGGGUAUUGUAGGAAGCAUGUCAAAUUGCAGAGGGUCUUUUUUUUUUUUCCUUUUCAAGAUAAGUCCUAGCAUAUUAAAUAUUCAUCUGCCAUGUAAGAACACUAUACCAUCUUUUUUACUUUCUUCAUCCCCAUUUUCUCAUGGAAAUAUAUUCAGAUGCGGAUAUGCAUGCCCUUUGGCCUGGAGGGUCGCAUCAAAAUACCACCACAGAGCAUCCUGGAGAAUUCGACUCCUGAAAUUCUCAAGUCCUGGCAAGCUCAGGACUCUGAGCUGUGGAUGACAUGUUGAGGAUUGGUGGCCCCAAGAAUAUGUGGCCUUGUUAAAGGCAUCGCUGCACUCCCCAGCUGCCUCAUUCCCAAAGGUCAUGUUUGGUGGCUUAGGUUUGUACUUCAUUGUUUGGCUGGCCUGUGACCCAGGCCUCUGUUCUGAAGAGGUUACAAAGCCGAGGCUUCCAGGAAGGGCCACCUGGAGGAGUCAGGGUGGGGUGUGGGGGUGGAGUGAGCAGGGUCCUGUAGGUCCCACCUCUUCUGCUGGAGGUAUGAGGUCAGUGGCUCUAGCAACCCCAUGGAAACCAAAAAGUGGAAAGAGCACUGAUCCUCCACAGCUGAGGCAUUUAUCCUCUGCUAAUAAACUUACCUCCAGAUCUUUCCAGAACAGUGGUUCUCAAAGAGUGGGCAGAACAACCAGCAGCAGCAGCAGCAUCACCUGACGCUUAUUUGAAAUGCAAAUUCAGACCUAUUGAGGUCUGGAGGCAGGACCUAUGAUCUGGUUUCUCAGGCCUUCCAAGUGGUGGUGAUAAUCCUCUUCCAGUUGAGAGGCAUUUAUCCAUCUCAUGGGAAUCUCCAGCUCCUCUGAGAAUCACCAGAAAGCCAUGGCCACAUCUCCAUGUGCCCAUCGAUGGGAGGAGGGCUGGGGUAACAUGAGUGAAGCACAUACCUGCCUUCUGCCCUGAAAGAGUGUGCUGGCGGCCAGCGGGGCAGCCGGGCAUCGUCCUAAUGACCAGAGUGUCGAUGAGCCAUUACAUUGCCACUUCUUGGUACCUGGAAAGAGGACAGGCUUCUGAGUCAGACAAGGGAGGGUUCAAAUGCUGUCCUUGCCAGUCACCCGCCAAAUGACCCGAACAAACCAUGCAGCUGAAGUCUUACCAUGAGGAGUGAAAAGUAGAGGGUGUCCGUUCAACAUUUGCUUAAAAACAAAUAAAUACAUUUUAAAAAUAAAAAGGAAGGGAUGUCAAAACCAAAAACAAACCUCAUGGGAUGUCUCUGGGCCCCAAAUAGUACUGCUGUGGCUUGCGUUAAAAUUUGACCCACAGGCCCCACUUUACCUAAGUAAGCAUUAACAGCUGCUUCCCUUACCACUGCUGAUGCUAGUAUUUAAACACACACACACACACCUGAUUAUAUUUUAAUACACAACUAAAAUACAAAACCCCAGAGUAAACUAAUGGCUGGAAAACAUGGCAUUUCAUGUGCAGUGCAUGACAAAUGGCCCACAUCCUUAGUCAUAAAUGAGUUCCUAGAAACCAGUAGUGAAGACAUGGGUAUUCCACAGGAAAUGAUAGUGUUGCUUUAUUGCUGCACCAUGGCUGCCAUGGCCGGGGCCCUUUCAGUGGGCCUGGUGGUGUGUGGAGGACGGUACAUGUCUUCCCUUCUUACAUUUUCAUCAGGAUCCUGUGAGGGGGGAGUGUGGGAGGCAAAAUAAUGACCCCCUGAUGAUGUCCACAUUCUGAUCCCAGGAACUUGGGACCGUGUUGUCUCACAGAUGUGGUGAGGUAAGGCCCUUGAGCGGGGAAUUCUCCUGGAUGAUGUGGGCGGACCCAGGGUAAUCAGGAGGCCCUUGUAAGAGGGAGGCGGGAGGUCAGAGUUGGUGGAGGAGACUGAUGUGGGAGUAGAGUGGAGAGAUGAGGGGAGAAAGAGAGCAAGCCAGAGAGAGAGAAGGCCUGCCCUCAGGGAGGGAGAGAGAGAAACUUAAAGAUGCUACGCUGUUGGCUUUGAAGCUGGAAGGAGGGCCCAGGAGCCACCCCUGUGCAGGUGGUCUCUCAGAAGCUGGCAAAAGGAAAGAAAACGAGUUCUCUGCAGAGACUCCAGAAGGAGCACGGCCUGUCAACACCUUGACUUGCAGACUCCUUACCUCCAGAACUGUAAGUAAUACGUUUGUGUUAUUGCAGCUGCUACGUUUGUGGUAAUUUGUCUCAGCAGCCAUAAGAAAGUAAGGUAGAAGGUUUUACUGCUGUCCCCAUUGGACAGAUGAGACUGGGGGUGAGAGAGACACCUCUGGGUUUUUCUAGAGGAGACCAGGGUCUCCAGGGGCCCUCCACCAGGCUCAAGGAAGUGGUGUGACAGGGCUUCGGGCCCAAAUCUGGCUCCAGAGCCCACAGGCGGAGCUCUCGUGAUACACAGGGCUUCUGCAGGAGGAGGUGUCUGGCGUAGUAUGGCUGCCUCUGGGCCUUCUUUUCUGUUUUACUUGCCUAGUAGAGGUCAGCCAGAAGGUCCAUAGCAGACUCACUCUGGGGUGAAAUCAGAUGAAUUUCUUUCUUUCUUUCUUUAUUUUUAAAUUUUUCUUGCCAACUGUGCCAUACCAUGAGUGGGAGCUGUUUCUCUUUUCUGAGGCAGUUUGUUAAGGAAGGCAGUUUCUGGGGUGAUAUUGAGAGGAAAACAGGAAGUGGUUUUAGCAUCCAGGGCUGAUCUGUUAGCUGAUUUAAAAAACAGUGCCCCCCUCCCGCUUCCCCACCACCACCACCAAAGUGGGAUUUCAUGAAAAUGAGGGGGUCAAAAAUCCAACUAUAGAAACACCAAGGGUGGACAAAGCCUUGUAAGGCUGGGGAAGCUGUUGAGUCUGGCUCCCAGCUAAAUCAGUUUGCUAGGUGGGGGUGGAGGCGCUGGUGGAGGGGAGACGCUGCACUUGCUCUCGCUGAGGAAGUUUAUCCUCCAGGGUCAAAGUCUAGGAGCCUGGAAAAGAGGCAGCAAAACUGGCCAUAGGGAGAGCAGCUCUAGGAGGGGAGGAUGCCACGUGCAAAGGCAUCAUGAGGCCUCUAGGGGAGCCACGCUUGAGACUGAAUGUUUCUCGUAUUGAGGUUAAGCCAGUGCCCCACGGAAUCCCAGACUUGGUUUGAAGUUGUGUGCAGGGAUGCAAGAGGAAGCAAGAGGAGGCCCAGUGCAGUGAACACCUGUGGGGGAGCUAUAGGGGCUGCUUGGAGCAGUCAGGUCAGUUCCUUUUCAAGGGUCUUCUUAGGCUCUGGUAGGAGGAAUACGGCACUUGCACAAAUUCCUCCAAGGUGAGAACCUGCAGGAUAGAGAGACACAGGGAGGCACAGAGAAUAGUGGGGGUUGGGAGGAGAAAGAAGUCCCAGUGACUGAGGUGGAAAGGAGAGAAAUGAAUAGUUACCGACAGUCACUCUGAGACAGGCUGCAUAUUCACAUAAAUCCUCUUGUUCGGGCAGUCUGAGAAACUGAGGCGCAUGUUACACUGUUGCAUAUAGCGAGGCUCAGAGAGGUUAAAUGACUUGUGCACACAGCGAGGACAGGCUGCAACCAGGAGUGAAACCUGGUUUUGGUUUUGAGCCCAGAAUAUUUUCCACCACGCAGCAUCAACUCCUGGGGGGACUCAUAAAAUGCCUCAUGAGUUAUUUAAUGAUGUGGAAUGAUGUUCAAGGGAUGGAGCUAAGUGGAUCAAGCAAGUUAUGUGAUCCAGUUCUUAUUAACAUGCAUUUAUCCUGAAAAUAUCAAGAUGAAUAUAUAAUUCACCCUAAUACCAUCAAGUGGCUACCUCAAGAGUGUUUAAGUUGGGGGUGAUUGAUGAAAAGUCUUCUUGCUAGUGUAUAUUUUAGAAAUUUUCUCCAGGGAGCAACACUUAAUAUAUUGAUAAAUACUAACGGAACCUUAGGCUUCUAAACCCAUUUGGAAUUUUGGUCUGAACAAAGAUUUCAAGGUAUUGUAGAGGUGUUUGAAGGGGUGGAUGGCCAUUAAAAGAUUUCUGAACAUAUGAGAAGAGCAAGAGCAAAUGUCUAGAAGCAGGAAGUGUUAGAACUGUUUUUGUGCCUGUGGGAAUGUGCAGGAAACAAGGAUUCAAGUGUGGUUGUACUGUGAGGACUCUGUAGGACAGUAGUGGGGGUGAGUAUGGGUUGUGGGGUUGGUGCCACCUUGGAGCAUCCUGGAUGCCGGAUUAGGAUGUGGUGCAGAGUUCUAUAUUUUAUGAGGGGCCUAAUCCAGAGGUGGCGGUUGAAAUGCUUUGCUAAAAGUAACACUUAAAAUGUGGCAAGGAAUUAGUUGGAGGCUUUGUUCUAGAAGUUGCUUUUUUGAUAAUAGGAAGCCUGGGGAAAGUCUCCUCAUCCCAGCCAAGCUGGUUCUGGGUUGUGGCACAUGAUCACCACCUAGUGGCUACACAGCCAAAUUGUAGGGCAAGUGGUCUUAAGAGUCUUAGAAACACUUCAUCAAAGCCAAAAAUCCUGGGAGGUCUAUAUUUUAUGAGGGGCCUAAUCCAGAGGUGGCGGUUGAAAUGCUGCCACCAUAUUCAUCUUGAUAUUUUCAGGAUAAAUGCUGUCGUGGAAAUGAAUCUGACUAGAAUCCAUGAGGAUGUGGGUUUGAUUCUUGGCCUCACUCAGUGGGUUAAGGAGCUGGCGUUGCCAUGAGCUACGUAGGUCGCAGACUUGGCUGGGAUCCCACAUUACUGUGGCUGUUGUGUAGGCCAGCAGCUACAGUUCCAAUUCGACCCCUAGCCUGGGAACCUCCAUAUGUGU